This 466-nucleotide ribosomal RNA is filed under the name uncultured bacterium. RNAcentral describes it as "partial 16S ribosomal RNA". It matches the Rfam family "Bacterial small subunit ribosomal RNA", at positions 28 to 506 of the family's 1533-position model. The record is from RNAcentral.
GACGAACGCUGGCGGCGUGCUUAACACAUGCAAGUCGAACGGAAAGGCCUCUUUCGGGGGGUACUCGAGUGGCGAACGGGUGAGUAACACGUGAGUAACCUGCCCUUGACUUUGGGAUAACUUCAGGAAACUGGGGCUAAUACCGGAUAGGAGCUCCUGCUGCAUGGUGGGGGUUGGAAAGUUUCGGCGGUUGGGGAUGGACUCGCGGCUUAUCAGCUUGUUGGUGGGGUAGUGGCUUACCAAGGCUUUGACGGGUAGCCGGCCUGAGAGGGUGACCGGCCACAUUGGGACUGAGAUACGGCCCAGACUCCUACGGGAGGCAGCAGUGGGGAAUAUUGCACAAUGGGUGGAAGCCUGAUGCAGCAACGCCGUGUGCGGGAUGACGGCCCUCGGGUUGUAAACCGCUUUCGCUCAUGACGAAGCUUUGUGUGACGGUAGUGGGUAAAGAAGCACCGGCUAACUACGU